GGCAAAGAUGAAGAGUGCUUUGAAUUCUGACACCUCUUGUAUGAGAAGAGCCUUUUGAAUAAAAAGGCUCUUCGUUGAGCACAGAUAGCAACUCUCUGAGCC
Small nucleolar RNA from Ziziphus jujuba (common jujube), 102 nucleotides. RefSeq annotates it as small nucleolar RNA snoR1. NCBI's taxonomy places the organism in Eukaryota, Viridiplantae, Streptophyta, Magnoliopsida, Rosales, Rhamnaceae. The record is from RefSeq and is a predicted model, not a curated record. The transcript has a single exon.